AGAGUUUGAUCAUGGCUCAGAUUGAACGCUGGCGGAAUGCUUUACACAUGCAAGUCGAACGGCAGCACGGGGCAACCUGGUGGCGAGUGGCGAACGGGUGAGUAAUACAUCGGAACGUGCCCAAUCGUGGGGGAUAACGUAGCGAAAGUUACGCUAAUACCGCAUACGAUCUACGGAUGAAAGCGGGGGAUCGCAAGACCUCGCGCGAGUGGAGCGGCCGAUGUCAGAUUAGGUAGUUGGUGGGGUAAAGGCUCACCAAGCCAACGAUCUGUAGCUGGUCUGAGAGGACGACCAGCCACACUGGAACUGAGACACGGUCCAGACUCCUACGGGAGGCAGCAGUGGGGAAUUUUGGACGAUGGGCGCAAGCCUGAUCCAGCCAUUCCGCGUGCAGGAUGAAGGCCUUCGGGUUGUAAACUGCUUUGUACGGAACGAAACGGCGAGCUCUAAUACAGUUUGCUAAUGACGGUACCGUAAGAAUAAGCACCGGCUAACUACGUG
RNAcentral lists this ribosomal RNA (501 nucleotides) under uncultured bacterium. Its description in RNAcentral is "bacterial SSU rRNA". It matches the Rfam family "Bacterial small subunit ribosomal RNA", at positions 8 to 507 of the family's 1533-position model. The record is from RNAcentral.